This 265-nucleotide ribosomal RNA is filed under the name Enterobacter hormaechei subsp. xiangfangensis. RNAcentral describes it as "partial 23S ribosomal RNA". It matches the Rfam family "Bacterial large subunit ribosomal RNA", at positions 1 to 267 of the family's 2925-position model. The record is from RNAcentral. Lineage: Bacteria; Pseudomonadati; Pseudomonadota; Gammaproteobacteria; Enterobacterales; Enterobacteriaceae.
CUGCCCGGUGCUAAGCGUACACGGUGGAUGCCCUGGCAGUCAGAGGCGAUGAAGGACGUGCUAAUCUGCGAAAAGCGCCGGCGAGGUGAUAUGAACCCUUGACCCGGCGAUGUCCGAAUGGGGAAACCCAGUGUGUUCCGACACACUAUCGUUAACUGAAUACAUAGGUUAACGAGGCGAACCGGGGGAACUGAAACAUCUAAGUACCCCGAGGAAAAGAAAUCAACCGAGAUUCCCCCAGUAGCGGCGAGCGAACGGGGAGCAG